This 96-nucleotide non-coding RNA is filed under the name Streptococcus ictaluri 707-05. RNAcentral's name for it is "S. pyogenes small RNA Spy490380c". It matches the Rfam family "S. pyogenes small RNA Spy490380c". Lineage: Bacteria; Bacillati; Bacillota; Bacilli; Lactobacillales; Streptococcaceae. The record is from Rfam by way of RNAcentral.
AUAAUUAACUAUACUUAAUUAAAUACAUAACAUAUCUUAAGGAGAUAAGUGAUGAGAAAGAAACUAAGCCUGAUUCUUGGGGCUAUUUUAUCAGUC